UACGUAGGGUGCGAGCGUUAAUCGGAAUUACUGGGCGUAAAGCGUGCGCAGGCGGUUUCGUAAGCUGGAGGUGAAAUCCCCGGGCUUAACCUGGGAAUGGCCUUCAGGACUGCGAGGCUAGAGUGCGGCAGAGGGAGGUGGAAUUCCACGUGUAGCAGUGAAAUGCGUAGAGAUGCGGAGGAACACCGAUGGCGAAGGCAGCCCUC
This 206-nucleotide ribosomal RNA is filed under the name uncultured bacterium. RNAcentral describes it as "partial 16S ribosomal RNA". It matches the Rfam family "Bacterial small subunit ribosomal RNA", at positions 524 to 729 of the family's 1533-position model. The record is from RNAcentral.